Molecule: ribosomal RNA, 460 nt
Filed under: uncultured bacterium
Lineage: Bacteria
Description: partial 16S ribosomal RNA
Rfam family: Bacterial small subunit ribosomal RNA
Source: RNAcentral
CCUACGGGGUGCAGCAGUGAGGAAUAUUGGUCAAUGGACGCAAGUCUGAACCAGCCAUGCCGCGUGCAGGAAGACGGCUCUAUGAGUUGUAAACUGCUUUUGUACGAGGGUAAACGCAGAUACGCGUAUCUGUCUGAAAGUAUCGUACGAAUAAGGAUCGGCUAACUCCGUGCCAGCAGCCGCGGUAAUACGGAGGAUUCAAGAGUUAUCCGGAUUUAUUGGGUUUAAAGGGUGCGUAGGCGGUCGGAUAAGUUAGAGGUGAAAUCCCGAGGCUCAAUUUCGGAAUUGCCUCUGAUACGGUUCGGUUAGAGAGUAGUAGCGGUAGGCGGAAUGUAUGGUGUAGCGGUGAAAUGAUAAGAGAUCAUACAGAACACCGAUUGCGAAGGCAGCUUAACAAGCUACUUCUGACGUGGAGGCACGAAAGCGUGGGGAGAAAACAGGAUGAGAUACCCGAGUAGUC